Molecule: ribosomal RNA, 301 nt
Filed under: uncultured bacterium
Lineage: Bacteria
Description: partial 16S ribosomal RNA
Rfam family: Bacterial small subunit ribosomal RNA
Source: RNAcentral
CAGUCGCCACGGUAAUACGGAGGGUGCAAGCGUUAAUCGGAAUUACUGGGCGUAAAGCGCACGCAGGCGGUCUGACAAGUCAGAUGUGAAAUCCCCGGGCUUAACCUGGGAACUGCAUUUGAAACUGUCAGGCUGGAGUCUUGUAGAGGGGGGUAGAAUUCCAGGUGUAGCGGUGAAAUGCGUAGAGAUCUGGAGGAAUACCGGUGGCGAAGGCGGCCCCCUGGACAAAGACUGACGCUCAGGUGCGAAAGCGUGGGGAGCAAACAGGAUUAGAUACCCGCGUAGUCCUGUCUCUUAUAAC